This 531-nucleotide long non-coding RNA is filed under the name Glycine max (soybean). Its description in RNAcentral is "long non-coding RNA (GMAX_LNC004004)". The record is from RNAcentral. Lineage: Eukaryota; Viridiplantae; Streptophyta; Magnoliopsida; Fabales; Fabaceae.
AAACACCAAAUCUCCAAAUACAAUGAUUGAAAAAAAAAGAAUGAAUCCUAAAGGCAACACGUUGAGGCCGGCGUCGAUUAUACAGUUGGUUCUCGACGGUGAGGCCAUGGAUUAAAGACCGCGCUGGUGUGAGUGUGAUAUGGAGAGAGUAAAAGGAGGGAUUUGGAAAGAGCACGUUGGAGGGUAGAGGAAUCUGUAUUGAAGAGAGAUAGGCGGGGAAGGCUCUCGAGAGCACAAUUGAAUGCCUUUAAUUUUUGAAAGGGUAAAUUGAAUUGAAAAAUUUAUGAUGACACAAAUUUUUGUUACCGUUGGCAAUCAAUUGUCAUAUUUGAUGAAACUAUUCUUUUUUGGGUUGCUUUGGGCAUCCAGCAGUUUUGCUCGGCACCCAGCAACGCGGGUAAAAAGAUUAAAAUAUGCUUCAUCUUCAUCGUUUCUUCUUCUUCUUAGGAAGUGCUUUUUCUUCCUCUUUUCUCUGGUGCUUCUUCUUCCUCUGUUCUCCGGCGACGGUGCUUGUUCAUCCUCUUUUGUCCG